AACAGGGUUGAAAUAUUCAUUUCACGGAUUCUGUUCAUGUGUUCUGUUUUAAAUGUUAUUAUUUCCAUAUAACGCAUUGUGUUUACCUGGGUUACUUAUUAAGCUGUGCUCCUGUGGCCAGUCUUAGAGUUAAAGUCAGUCAAGCAUGUGAGUUACACAUGUCCAGUUUAUAUAAUUGUUCAGUCAGGCUUGACCAGUUAUUUUCCCGCCCUUUCCUUUGUCUUCUGGUCACUUCUAACUUGAACACAGAGCUGUACACGUCUACUUUUAAGAUGUACAUUUAUAGUACAGAGUUGCCAUUACUUCAAUAUAAGGUUAGUUCUAUUUCUACCUGUUUGCAUUUACUCUUUCUUGUAUUUGCAUUGAGUUGUAUUUAUGUUGUGAGUUGAUAUAACUCAUAUUUGAUAAGUAAUUAGGUUAAAUUCAGAAAAGCAGCAUUGCCAUCCUAAACGUGCUAACGAUUCCUAUAAUUCACAGUUUCCCAUACUCUUCACAUGUAUAAUCUUAUUUGCAGCAGUAGCACAGCACCCGCAGAGAAUUGUAUACGAUUGAGAGAGAGUUCCGUACACAUUCCACAAAUGUGACAUGGAAUUCGUAUAAUAAUAAAGACGAAUACAACAUAUAUUCGGGUGGUUAUUUUGAGCCGGGUACUGCCCGUUUAUAUUUGGCGCCCAACGUGUUUUGCGGACCCGAGAGGAAGAUGGCGGCCCGUGGAAAGCGGAGAAGUCGUGGAAGGGUCGUUGAGGACUGAGCGUACGUAGGAAGAGUCUUAUUGGACGGGUCGUUGAGGACGUAGCGGAAGUGGGAGUCGUUUAACCGUGUAUUUAGAACAUUUCCGAGGAUUUAUAGUGCAAUAUCGUGUACCUACCGUGUGGACAAUUGUGAAGUGGACAUCUUUAAAUAGUUAUCGUGUAUCAUAUUCAGACUUUUAAUCAUUUGUGGCCUAUAUUCAUCAUAUGUGUAUUCUUCACCUUUCUUCGUAACCGUGAGUAUAUGUAUGUGAGUGAGAGAGAGAAUAUAUUAUUUGUUUACCUAAUAUAAUUGAUUGCUCUAAUUACUUGGUGACGGUUACAUCUUUAUAAGAUCUAUUCUUCAUCCUUUAUCAACAGUUACUAAAAACAUUGAAAUGCUGCUAUUUUGAAUUUAUUCAUAAAGUGAUUAUAAAUUCAUUAAUUUUGUAACCAACUCAUUGCUAUCCCUUUAACCUCUUUAUUCUAUAAAUUCUCAUAUAAUCCCUUUCCCAGUGUCCAUACCUUUAUCCAGCCCUUUUACAUUUUGGCCUUAAUUCUAUUUAGUCCAUUGUAUUCCAUUUUAUUACUGUGUGAGUGUUUGUUUUGAUUUGUUGCAUUCCUGAGUUUAUGCAUUGCUAACAGUACAUCAGGUUACACUUGUUCACCUUGAUUAUACAUGAUUUGGUUUUGAUUGGAUAUAGAAUUCCCUAAUUUGCAUACUGAGUUUGGAUAUCAUCGCUUCCUUGGUUUUCAUUGGUUGACACAUGACUGAAUUUUUUUCACUGACAGACCAUGUGACUACUAUUUUACCUUAUAUGGAAGUUGUAGUAGAGUAGUAAUUCUCAACACAGUGUAGUAGUAUAUGUACAUGUAGGUAAGGUCUGUUUUGGACAGAUGUCUCCCGUGUGAGCUGAUAUCAGGUAAAUCUGUUUACACAUUUGUGGUCGGCUUCUUUGGUUGUUAUUUUAGUUAAUUUGAUUUGUCUCAGGGCAUUGCAUUUUUAUUUUGGCGUUUAAUAUUUCUGAAGUUAAUACUUAUAACACAGUGUAGGUUGAGUGAUUUGAAUUAAAAUACUUGGUGCAAUUUAUUCAUUUGAAUUUAAUUUGAAAUUAUUUUGAACACUUAUUUAAACUUCUUUAUUUUUUUGUGAAAUAUUUUCAUUUAUUAUUGAUACUUAGGUUUGAUUUGAAAUAUUUGGUUUUAUUUAUAUUGUAUUAUUCUAAGUUGGACUUUGAUUUUUAGGUUCUUCCUUGCAGUUUACGGAUGGAAAUACUUAGUUAAUUUCAUUUCAUAUCUUAUUUGGAAUUAUUCUUGGACAUUUUGGAUAAUUAAUUAUUUUCAUUUACAUUGCAUUCCAUUUACACAUAGUGUGUUGAAGUUCUGUUUGAUAUAGGUGAUUGAAGUUGUGCAUGUUUAGUUGUGACUUAAGUUGACGCAAUAGUGUGUUAGCUUGUUCUUGUACUUUGGAGUCUAUUUUUCAGUUCAUUCAAUUUUGGGUUUGUGCUUUUGUGACCGAAUUAGUUUGAACGUUGCUGAAAUUGUGUGAAAGUGCAUCACUGUUCAUACUUUGAAGUUUGAAUUUGAUGUUUUGUUUUAGUUGUGAUACUUGAUUGAUUGGUUCAUUGUGGGUCAAUUAAUUUACUUGUAUCUUAACUUUAUUUUUUUUAUACUUUGUGAUAAUAUUCUUAGUCCAGGAUCCGUUUGCGCACAAGUGAUUUAUUUAUUAUUCAUUAUACUUGGUGAUUAUUGAUUGACUUUCAGACAGUGCAAAAGUGAUUUAACUGGUGUUUUCACUUAUUGAAUUUGAUUUAAAGUGGAUUCAUUUGUUUGUACUUAUACUUUGAAUUGAUUUUAUAGAAGUUCACUUUGAAUUGCAACUUAAUUAGUCUUUGAGGAUUUAUUUGGUUGAACUUAAGGUUGAGUUGAUGCAAUACUGACUUAACUUUAUUAUUUUUUUUAAUUAAUAAUUAGAAUUGGAAGGUGUUUGUUUGUUGUUUUAUUGGCAGCAACUUUGAAUUUUGGGUAGCAUUUAACUGACUUUGAACUUUAUUUGGUCUAAGCUAUAUUAUACUAUGUAUGUUGGAAGAGAUUAGUGUUUCUUUGAAACACAAUAUACUUGGAAGGGUUAUCAUUAUUUCUUCGGAAACUAUUGACUUUGAAGUUGACAUGAAUUGAUUAUUUGACAGAAUUAAUUAAUUGAUUAAUUGAUAGGUUGCAUUAAAUCACUGAUAAUUGAAAGUUGAAUUUGAAGUUAAAUGAACAUGGCAUCAAGUGAAGGGAAGAUUAUGGAGACUGUUCAAGAAGAAGGAGGUCAGGAUAUUACAGAGGAAGAUAGGAAAUUGCUUGAAGCAUUUAAGAAGCUUGAUGUUAAGCCUGAAAUUGAAAAUACAGAAGACUUAAUCAAAUUUAUGUCCACAUAUAGAUGUCGGGAAAAGGCUGAAGAUAGGUAUAGGUCAGCUGAUACUUUAAGAUAUGUUGAGGACAGAAGACACUUUGAAGACAGAAGACACUUUGAGGACAGAAGAACCUUUGAGGAAAGAAGAUAUGGGGAUGACAGAACCUUCAAUAGUAGUAGCUACCCCAGGAUAUCAACCUUUGGAGGGGUUAGUGGAAAAGGAGAAGCCAGUUGGGAGAGUUUCAAGUUUGAAGUUCAGUCUUUGAUGGCUAAUAGGAUAUUCAGAGAAGAGCAAAUAUUAUUUGGAAUAAGAAAGGCUGCCAAAGAAGAUGUGGCUGACAUAUUAAGACGACUAGGAACAAAGGUUACAGUGAGUGAAGUUAUGUGGAAGCUGGAGAGUACAUAUGGAAAUGUUGAAACGAAGGAAACUAUUCUAAGAAAGUUUUACAAUUGUUCCCAGCAACCUGCAGAGUCCAUUGCAUCAUUUUCUUCUAAGCUUGAAGACUUGUACGAUAAGGCAGUUUCUUUGGGGGGUAUUAAGAAGGAUGACAAUAUAAUUAAAGGGGUCUUAUACCAAGGAUUGAAGAAGGAACUCAGGCAGCAGGCAGCUUACAAGUUUGAAACAGAACAUGAUUAUGACGCCUUUAAAAUCUAUCUAAGAAAGAUGGAGUCUGAAGAUAGAGAGGAGAAAAGAGAGACAACAAAGCCAGCCAACCCUGCGGUAAAUACAACAGCACCAGAAUUGACUGAGGUCCUGUCACAACUCAAAAGGUUGAAUGAAAGAAUCGAUAGAUUAGAAAGAGAGAAAGUAACAGGUCAGUCAGAGAACCAGUACACACCAUUUAUCAGCAGAGGUGCUCGGCGUGGACAACACGGUUAUGAUAGACAUUUCCGGCCAGAUCAGAGGGGUUUCAGAGGAACAACAAGAAGGGAACCAUCAAGGCCACUGUCAUCAACCACGUUUAUGCCCACCUGUUACCACUGCAAUCAACGUGGACACAUUGCUAGGGAGUGCCCAAAACUAGUUUGUGCUCCAGUCGCCGGGUCGGAGAGGAGCACACCAGAGACUAAGAAAGACCCUCAACUAGUUGGAGAUGUGAAUGAAGUCAACCUGAAUAUUAACAACAAUACAACCACAGCUCUUUUGGACACUGGAUCAUGCGUAAGUAUUAUAUCUGAAACAUUCUAUAAAGAACACUUAGCUGAUACUGAAUUAGAGCCACUGACAGAAAUGAUCAACAUAGAAUGCGCUGAUGGUCAACAACUUCCAUACUUAGGAUGUAUAGAAGCUACCAUUAGUAUUGAAAAUGGAUUGGAGAAAGCAACAUCAAAGCAAUGUCUCUUUUUGAUAUCACCAGAUACGAAAUACUCUGCAAGAACUCCAAUAAUUCUAGGAACAAACAUAUUGAAAACAUUACUACAAGACUGCAAAGAUAAUUUUGGUGAACAAUUUUUACAGAAGGCUAAUUUACAUACUCCAUGGUUUUUAAGCUUUAGAUGUUUAGUAAUAAGAGAGAAAGCACUUAGAAGAAACAAGAAUUGUCUGGCUAUACUGAGAUGUGCUACUGAACAGAAGAUUACCAUAGGACCAAAUCAAACCAAACCUAUACCAGUGACAGCUUAUAGAAAACUACCAUACAGUGAAUGUAAUGCAUUGAUAUCAGAGACAGGAGAUUCAUCACUUCCUGACUUCAUUGACAUCGGACCAGCUCUCGUGAAUUAUGACUUUAAGAAGAAUGAGUAUGUAGUGGAGUUAUCUAACGUCACCUAUAAUACAGUUACAAUAGCACCCAGAGCCAUCAUUGCAGAGCUACAGCCAGUUGACAUUGAAGAUGAUACAACAAGGAGACACCUGAAGGAAGAGGAAGAUUUGAAGAGAAGACAAGAGGCAUUGAUAGAAAGCUUGGACAUCGACAAAGACAACAUUUUAACACCUGAACAAAGAGAACAAUUAAAAACACUUCUUCAAAAACACAAGGAUUUAUUUUCAACUUCUGACACAGAUAUAGGAACGUGUACGAAAACCAAACAUAGAAUAAAUCUACAUGACGAAACGCCAUUUAAAAUGAGACAUCGCAGGAUACCACCUAACAUGGUUGAAGAGGUUAGAGCACAUCUGGAACAGUUACUUUCAUGCGGUAUAAUAACACCAUCCAAAUCUCCAUGGGCAUCACCAGUAGUUCUUGUUAGGAAGAAGAAUGGAACACUCAGAAUGUGUAUAGACUUUAGAAAUCUUAAUGCCAAGACUAUUAAAGACUCCUAUGCCCUUCCCAGAAUAGAAGACGUUUUUGAUUGUUUACAGGGGGCGAUGUAUUUUUCUACGUUGGAUAUGAAAUCAGGUUAUCAUCAAAUUGAAAUUGAGGAGGAGCAUAAGGAAAGAACAGCCUUUACAGUAGGAGCACUAGGGUUUUACCACUUCCGAAAAAUGCCAUUCGGAUUGACAAAUGCUCCAGCAACAUUUCAAAGAAAUUCAGAGGAAAUGCUAGGAGAUUUGAAUAUGAAGAUCUGCGUUAUUUAUUUGGACGACCUUAUCAUCUUUAGUAAAACUUUUGAGGAACACCUACAUAACAUAAACACCAUUUUUGACAGAUUAAGGGAAUUUGGUUUGAAACUAGCUCCUGAAAAAUGUGAAUUCUUCAGAGAAAAGAUAGCUUUCCUAGGACACAUUGUGAGUAGUAAAGGAAUUGAAACUGACCCAAGUAAGAUAGACAAGAUCAGAAACUGGCCAUCACCAAGCACACCAGAAGAAUUGAGAAGUUUUUUGUCAUUUGCUGGAUAUUACAGAAGAUUUAUUCAAGACUUUAGCAAAAUUACGAGACCGUUGAAUGAUCUGUUACCACCAACCAAAGCAAAGAAGGGACAGAAGAAACCACUGAAGGAAUGGAAAUGGACAGACACUGAAGAAGAUAUAUUUACUAAUCUGAAAGAAAUUCUGUCUACACCUCCAGUUCUGGCAUAUCCAGAUUUCAACUUACCGUUUGAAGUACACACGGAUGCAUCAGGUAAGGGUUUAGGAGCUGUGCUAUAUCAACAACAUCACGACAACACCAAACACGUCAUAGCAUAUGCAAGCAGGUCACUCAGUAAAUCAGAAUCAAACUACGCAGCUUUCAAAUUAGAAUUUUUGGCAUUAAAAUGGGCAGUCACCGAAAAGUUUUCAGAUUACUUAACCAACACUCACUUUACAUUACUCACAGAUAACAAUCCACUCACUUACAUUCUCACUACAGCGAAAUUAGACGCAACAGGGCAAAGAUGGGCAUCAGAUUUGGGCAAUUACAACUUUGACAUCAUAUACAGGGCAGGCAGAAACAACACAGAUGCAGAUGCACUCAGCAGAUAUCCUCACCACAAAAUCAUAGACCAACAACAACAUGAAAACAUCAAAAUAGACAACAGCACAGUGAAAACAAUUUGCAAGUACAUAACACCAGCACUCAUUGACACACUACCAGCAUUGUCACUCAACAUCAUAGAAGCUACAGAAACACCAAUGCAACCUAUAGCACAGCUUGAAUUAAGAGAAAUUAGGAAAGCACAGAGACAAGAUCAAUUAAUUGAAAAGUGGAGAAUAGCAACUAUAGACAAGACUCUACCCCAAUUUAAUACUCUACCUGGAGAUAUCAUAAUGAAAAAGAACUUUGAAAACUUUAUCAUAAAGAGAGGCAUUCUGUACAGGAAUUUACAUGAGAAUGAAGAGAUUAUUGAACAACUCGUUAUACCAAACUGCUAUAAGAGAGAAAUACUAGAAGGAUUUCAUGACGACUGUGGUCACCCUGGAAGAGAUAGGACACUAAGAUUACUGAGAGAACGCUAUUUUUGGCCAGGAAUUACAACAGAUGUGGAGAAACAUGUCACAGGAUGUAAUCGAUGUUUAAGGAGAAAGACAACAGUGAAUACAAGGGCACCAAUGAUUAAUGUGAAUACAACUUAUCCAUUAGAAUUAGUGUGCUUUGACUUUCUGUCAGUUGAACCAUCUAAAGGACAUAGUAACAUCCUAGUGAUAACGGAUCAUUAUACCAAAUUUGCCAUGGCCAUUCCGACAAAGAACCAGACAGCGAAAACAACCGCCGAAGCCUUUUAUAACAAUUUUGUUGUUCAGUAUGGUAUUCCAACAACUUUACACUCUGACCAAGGAGCCAAUUUCGAAUCACAGAUAAUCAAAGAGCUCUGCAAAUUAACCAAUACAAAGAAAACUCAUACUUCUAUUUACCAUCCUCAAGGAAACGGAACUCCAGAAAGAUUUAAUAGAACAUUACUAGGCAUGCUUGGAACAUUAGAGAAUGAUCAGAAGAAACAUUGGACUGAUUACAUUAAGCAUCUGGUAUUUUGCUACAAUUGUACUCCACACGAAUCGACAAGAGUAUCACCUUUCGAAUUAAUGUUCGGACGUAAAGCAAAAUUACCCAUGGACACCAAGUUUGAACAAGUAACAUCAGAAUUCAAGACCAAAGAAACCAAAGAUUACAUUGAACAUUUAAAGAUGAGAAUGAAGAGGACAAGAGAAAUAGUUGAACAGUAUGUAGAAAAUGCCAAAGGUAAGCAAAAGAAGUAUUAUGACAUGAAAGCUCGAGCAGCAAGAGUUCAAGUAGGGGAUAAGGUUCUUGUAAAAAUCCUAUCCCAUACUGAAGGAAAACACAAACUGGUAGAUAAGUUUGAAGAGGAAGUUUUUACUGUCCUAGAACAAGUAAAUGACCAUAUACCAGUCUAUCGUGUCAGGUCAGAAUCAGGUAAGGAGAAAACUCUGCACAGGAAUCAUCUGCGCCUGUUGGUUAAUCAGGAUGAAGCAGAAGAGUUCCGGGAUAAUCAGGAGACUACUUCAGGUAACAGCAUACCUGUAGACGUAGCAGAAGAAGAAGUAGAAGAAUUAUCAGACAAGAAGACCAUGGAUGCAUCCAAAGAAGUAGAAAAGAUGGAAGACGAUGAUGAGGAUGAGUCUGAUGCAGGAGAUCUUGUAUAUUUUUCAAGAGGUGGGGACGCCCAUAUCCUAGCUGACGACAUAGAUAUGUCUAGAGAAGAAUCAAGGACGGAAAACAUAGAUAUGUCUAGAGAAGAAUCAAGGACGGAAAACAUAGAUAUGUCUACAGAAGAAUUGAGGAUAGAAGACAGAGAUGAUAUUUCUAGUGAAGUUCCCGGAGAACAAAGAAACGAAGAUAGGGAAGAAUUAAUACAAGCAGAGGAUAGAGUAGAUGACGUUGUUGAAGAUGUUCCUGAAUCUACAGCAGGGAAUGAAGAAGAGAACAACGAAGAAGAGAUGCCUGAAAACGUACCUCAUCAAGUAGAUUUGUCGCAAGAAGCUGACAUUACUGAAGAACCAGACAUUACUGAAUACCCUAUACAAGAUCAAGAUAAUAAUAAUCAAGAAGAAAUUGAAGUCCCUAUAGAAAUGGAUGAAGCACAACCGAUAAGGACAGAGACAUCUACAUCGGAUACUAGAGCUCCAACACCAAAACCAAGACAAUCUGUCAGAGAGAGACGACCUCCAGAUCGGUAUAAGGAUUACCAGAUGAAUGCUUGUGUGGUACCAAGACCACAAGAUGCCAGGUUUGAGGCAUUAAAUAAAUUGAUUGCCUCAGGUGUUUUAAAUCAAUUAGACAGUAAGACAGCUGGACGUAUGGUUUCUAGUAUUUUUCAAUGAAAUUUUCAUUAAAAAAAUUUGUUUUAACAUAUUUUAAACAAUAUUGUGUAUGUAUUUUGUGUGUAUUUUAUAUCAGAUGUUGUUUUUUUUUGCAAGGUUCGGGCAGUAUUAUUCUGAUUAAUAAUUAUCAGAAAGAGUUAUCUCUGAAAUAAAUUUCAGUGAGUUUUCAUGCGAGUGACGUGAUGUUAUUUUUGUAACUUUCUUAUUAACAAUGUGAAUUGCUGAUAUUGCAUAUAGUAUCAAUUGAUUUUUUUAAUGUAUUAUUUUAAUGUGAGGACACAGUUCUGAAGAGCAGGAGGAAAAGAGUCAGAAUCAUAUUUAUACAUUUAGGUAAGGUAAGUAUGUAUCAGUUAUUCAGUAGUAUAACUAGUGGAUGUAGUUUCGAUAAAGUAUGUUGUUCUUGCUUGUACAAUGCUGUUAUUAUAAACAGUAUAGUGAGAUAGAUAGGUAUUGUAUCUAUUUUGUAUAGAAAGGUUAUUUGUUGACGGACGAUUCUGUUUUUACUGUGACAUGACAAUUUUGUUUUCUUCUUGGUUUGUUAUGAUGAGGACAUCAUUUUUCGGGCCAGGGAAGUCUGUAACAGGGUUGAAAUAUUCAUUUCACGGAUUCUGUUCAUGUGUUCUGUUUUAAAUGUUAUUAUUUCCAUAUAACGCAUUGUGUUUACCUGGGUUACUUAUUAAGCUGUGCUCCUGUGGCCAGUCUUAGAGUUAAAGUCAGUCAAGCAUGUGAGUUACACAUGUCCAGUUUAUAUAAUUGUUCAGUCAGGCUUGACCAGUUAUUUUCCCGCCCUUUCCUUUGUCUUCUGGUCACUUCUAACUUGAACACAGAGCUGUACACGUCUACUUUUAAGAUGUACAUUUAUAGUACAGAGUUGCCAUUACUUCAAUAUAAGGUUAGUUCUAUUUCUACCUGUUUGCAUUUACUCUUUCUUGUAUUUGCAUUGAGUUGUAUUUAUGUUGUGAGUUGAUAUAACUCAUAUUUGAUAAGUAAUUAGGUUAAAUUCAGAAAAGCAGCAUUGCCAUCCUAAACGUGCUAACGAUUCCUAUAAUUCACAGUUUCCCAUACUCUUCACAUGUAUAAUCUUAUUUGCAGCAGUAGCACAGCACCCGCAGAGAAUUGUAUACGAUUGAGAGAGAGUUCCGUACACAUUCCACAAAUGUGACAUGGAAUUCGUAUAAUAAUAAAGACGAAUACAACAUAUAUUCGGGUGGUUAUUUUGAGCCGGGUACUGCCCGUUUAUAUAACU
Dreissena polymorpha is the source of this 10010-nucleotide RNA transcript. RefSeq lists it as uncharacterized. Lineage: Eukaryota; Metazoa; Mollusca; Bivalvia; Myida; Dreissenidae. The transcript has 3 exons. The record is from RefSeq and is a predicted model, not a curated record.